This 18-nucleotide ribosomal RNA is filed under the name Acephala sp. CM7m4. Its description in RNAcentral is "partial 28S ribosomal RNA". The record is from RNAcentral. Lineage: Eukaryota; Fungi; Ascomycota; Leotiomycetes; Helotiales; Mollisiaceae.
UGACCUCGGAUCAGUAAG